ACGCUCGACAUCUACGGGAGGCGGCAGUGGGGAAUAUUGCACAAUGGGGGAAACCCUGAUGCAGCAACGCCGCGUGAAGGAAGACGGUUUUCGGAUUGUAAACUUCUGUCCUUAGUGAAGAUAGUGACGGUAGCUAAGGAGCAAGCCACGGCUAACUACGUGCUAGCAGCCGCGGUAAUCUGAGCGGGCUGGCAAGGC
Molecule: ribosomal RNA, 198 nt
Filed under: uncultured bacterium
Lineage: Bacteria
Description: partial 16S ribosomal RNA
Rfam family: Bacterial small subunit ribosomal RNA
Source: RNAcentral